This 253-nucleotide ribosomal RNA is filed under the name uncultured bacterium. RNAcentral's name for it is "partial 16S ribosomal RNA". It matches the Rfam family "Bacterial small subunit ribosomal RNA", at positions 524 to 776 of the family's 1533-position model. The record is from RNAcentral.
UACGUAGGGGGCUAGCGUUGUCCGGAAUCAUUGGGCGUAAAGCGCUCGCAGGUGGUCCGUCGCGUCGUGCGUGAAAGCCCCCGGCUCAACUGGGGAGUGUCGUGCGAUACGGGCGGACUGGAGGCCAGUAGGGGGAUGCGGAAUUCCGGGUGUAGUGGUGGAAUGCGUAGAGAUCCGGAGGAACACCAGCGGCGAAGGCGGCAUCCUGGACUGGUCCUGACACUCAUGAGCGAAAGCGUGGGGAGCGAUCCGG